This 937-nucleotide ribosomal RNA is filed under the name Klebsiella pneumoniae. Its description in RNAcentral is "partial 23S ribosomal RNA". It matches the Rfam family "Bacterial large subunit ribosomal RNA", at positions 419 to 1358 of the family's 2925-position model. Lineage: Bacteria; Pseudomonadati; Pseudomonadota; Gammaproteobacteria; Enterobacterales; Enterobacteriaceae. The record is from RNAcentral.
GGGACACGUGGUAUCCUGUCUGAAUAUGGGGGGACCAUCCUCCAAGGCUAAAUACUCCUGACUGACCGAUAGUGAACCAGUACCGUGAGGGAAAGGCGAAAAGAACCCCGGCGAGGGGAGUGAAAAAGAACCUGAAACCGUGUACGUACAAGCAGUGGGAGCACCUUCGGGUGUGACUGCGUACCUUUUGUAUAAUGGGUCAGCGACUUAUAUUCUGUAGCAAGGUUAACCGUAUAGGGGAGCCGCAGGGAAACCGAGUCUUAACUGGGCGUUAAGUUGCAGGGUAUAGACCCGAAACCCGGUGAUCUAGCCAUGGGCAGGUUGAAGGUUGGGUAACACUAACUGGAGGACCGAACCGACUAAUGUUGAAAAAUUAGCGGAUGACUUGUGGCUGGGGGUGAAAGGCCAAUCAAACCGGGAGAUAGCUGGUUCUCCCCGAAAGCUAUUUAGGUAGCGCCUCGUGAACUCAUCUUCGGGGGUAGAGCACUGUUUCGGCUAGGGGGUCAUCCCGACUUACCAACCCGAUGCAAACUACGAAUACCGAAGAAUGUUAUCACGGGAGACACACGGCGGGUGCUAACGUCCGUCGUGAAGAGGGAAACAACCCAGACCGCCAGCUAAGGUCCCAAAGUCAUGGUUAAGUGGGAAACGAUGUGGGAAGGCACAGACAGCCAGGAUGUUGGCUUAGAAGCAGCCAUCAUUUAAAGAAAGCGUAAUAGCUCACUGGUCGAGUCGGCCUGCGCGGAAGAUGUAACGGGGCUAAACCAUGCACCGAAGCUGCGGCAGCGACACUAUGUGUUGUUGGGUAGGGGAGCGUUCUGUAAGCCUGCGAAGGUGUGCUGUGAGGCAUGCUGGAGGUAUCAGAAGUGCGAAUGCUGACAUAAGUAACGAUAAAGCGGGUGAAAAGCCCGCUCGCCGGAAGACCAAGGGUUCCUGU